CCCCAUUCCAAAUGGCAUAAAUCGAAGUGAAUAACAGCCCGUGAUGUCAAGAUAGAUGAGACUUUUCAUAUGCUUCAUACCUCUAGGUAAUUGGAUGAGCUGUGUACACUGACUCAGAUUUAGUGUCUGAAGAUUUUGGAGGGAGGUGGUUGAUGCAGGCAAUUUUUUAAUGUUGGAAUUGGAGACAUCUAGAAACCUUAGAUGUUUCAAAUAACAAAUUGACUUUGGCAAUGUAUUGAGAUAGAUACCUAUAUGCAAGGCUCUCAGAUGCUUUUGUUGGGUGAAAUAAAGAUGCAAAUCAUCACUCACAGUGUGAUGAUAAACUCCAGAAAGCAAAAUUGAGCGUAGUGACCGAGAUUUGAAAUCCUUGUCUUUUGGAACAAACUGUGAUGUCCUGUAUGCACCCACAUGACGAAUUGUUUUAGGAAUUUGCAACUUUGUAUUGCCCUCAAUCAAACAACAUUCUCUCUUCAUAAUGUACUGUGCAAGAUCAUGGAUAAGAUCGUGCAUUUUACAUGAUAUGUUGCCCAGCCCAUCAUCCAUGACUUCUUGAAAAAAAGACCUCCCAACUAAUUCGUGGAAAAUCUCUUCACCCUUAUCGUGCAAAUCCAUUUGCCCAAUGCACGAAAUGAAGCCAUUUGCCAUCCAUAGAGCUACCAACCGCUCCUUCCGAAUGACAUAAUCUUUGGGGAAUAUAGAGCAAAAUGCAAAGCAUUGCUUCACAGCUGGCUUUAGAUUCAUAUAACUCAAACUCAAGGCAGGUAAUAUCUGGCUUCCUUCAUUCGGCAGAUCCCAAAUCUCACUUUCUUUCACAGACAGCCACUCCCUUUCAAUUUUCUUCGAGCGCAUCAGGCUUCCGACUGCUCUUAUAGCCAACGGAACUCCGCUACACUUGUUAACUAUCGCUGCUCCAAUGUUUUCCAAGUGACCAUACUCCUCUCUCCUUCUCAUACCAAAUGCAAGCUGCUUAAAUAAAAGCCAGGAAUCCUCAUCCGACAAUGUUUCCAUAUGUUGAACAGGAUUUGUGGCCAUUUUUUCUGCCAUAGUUCCCAAACGAGUAGUCACAAUAACUGCACUUCCUUUAGCUCCACAACUCAAUGCAUCUUUCAACUUGCUCCAGUUAUCAUGGUCAUCAUCCCAAACAUCAUCCAAUAUGAGCAAAAACUUCGUACCACGUAACUUUUCUUGGAGGCAUCGUAGAAGAGCAUCCAACUGUUGAAUAUUUGGAGUAGUGCGUUGAAUGGACUCGAUGAUGGCUGUUGUCAAUCUUUUUAUGUUGAAAUCAACUGAUACGCACACCCAAAUCCGCAAAUCAAAAUGCCCUUCUAUUCUUCCGUCGUUGUAGACUAAUUGAGCAAGUGUUGUUUUACCCAAGCCCCCCAUUCCACAUAUAGCAUAAACAGAGAAAUCAUCUGAACUGGUGAGCAGCAUGUUGACCAGAUCUUCUUUCUCCUUGCCCCUUCCAUAAAUUUCUGAUUCAUUCACCCAUGACCAAGUCUGACGCCAAUCAAAACUAUCUGCUUCUAUCUCCAAAGCCCCUUCUAUUAAAUGGAAAUUGUGUCUCUCCUUGGCAAUGGCAUCUAGUUUUUCUCUAACAUUCUUCAAUUUAUGCACCAUUUUUUGUCGAAAAACAAGUGGAUUAUGAUUGAUAGAAAAGAAGGAACUAACUCGAUAUUUGAGAUCUCUUGGCUGCUGAUGCCACUGAGCUUCAAUUGCAAACUCAUCUAGCAAAUCAUCAGCGUCAUAAGCUGCAUCCUUGAUGUCUCUGAGCCACACCUUUAUAGGCUCACUCUUCCACUGCUUCUCCUCUGCAUCUUGCAGCACAGCUCGAAUAGUUCUGAACGUGCGGUUGAGAUUUUCAAGCUCGGUCUCUAGGCCCCCAGCAAGUCCAAGCUCUUGAAGAAUUGGGGAAUUCAAGUUCCCCAUGAUUGUACUCGCGACAGCAGAAAUAAUUGCAUCAGCCAUAGCUUGUUAUCGAAUGGAAAAUAAUUGGAUGUUGACAAGAAGUAGAAAAUGUGCAAGGAUAACCAAAAGCAGGGAUGAGGAAACAGAGCAGUGUGGGAUGAGAAAUGGCAAAGGUGAAAGUGUAUGGUGAUGAGCUUUUCUUCUACUAUCGAUCUCUUUUCAUUAGUGAUUGAUAAUGUGAUGGAUCCAUUUCAUUAUUAGUGAUCUCUUCGCUGCAGUUUCAGAGAAGGAACGUGGCUGUGUUUGCUUAUUGGUUAGUAAAAGUCUUCGUCCCGCACUGGCCAGGCCGCUUGGGCUCCACACGGAUAUUAAGUAAUAUUCUAAAAGUAGUUUCCCCGCGCCUUUUACUUAUUCUACUGUACACAUAACCCGCAAUGUUGCGGAUUACUUUUUUAUAAAAAAUAUUAAAAAAAUAAAAAUUUAAAAAUUUUGAGUUUUUCUGCAAAGCUAUACUAAAAAAUCUUGAGUUUAGCUGCAACACUUAAUCUAAGAGUAAUAUUUAUAAUGUUAAUAAUAAAAUUAAACUUGCAUGAUCCAAGUUUAAGUUAGUCUGGCUGCAACAUCGGACCCAAGAAUAUUGGAUGUGGGUCUGACUAUAAGAUCGUGUCAUAAAAAUAUGAUAAUUAAAUAGAUUAAUUAAAAAAAUAAAGAAAAAAAAUCAAUAGAAAGAAAAAAACUAAUAAAGAAAAAGAAAAAAAAUGAAUUAAUUAGGUUAACCCUUUAAACCAGGUUAUCCCGUAAAACCUGAGAUUCACGUCAUAAAAGUUUGAUAAUUAAAUAGAAAAAAAAAUGACGGGUUUACCCAGAAUUAACUGGGUUAACCUAUCAAAUCAAGUUAACUCGUCAAGCCUAGGAUACGUGUUAUGAAAGUAUGAAAGUCUGAUAAUUAAAUAGAAAGAAAAUUAACUUUAACAAACUAAACUAAAUGAAAAAAAUAACUCGUCAAAUCAAGUUAACCUAUCAAACCCGAGAUCUGUAUUAUGAAAAUCUGAUAACUAAAUAAAAAAAUUAUCAUUAACAAACUAAAUCAAACAAAAAAAUUCAUUAAAAAAAUUAAAAAGAAAAAAAUAGUUAUAUAAUAUAAUAAUAAUAACAAUAAUAAGUAAAUAUAUUAGUAAAAGGCGUGACAUGCCCGCGCGAUGCCGCGGGCUUGUGGCAUGCUUAUACAUUAUCGUGGAUUUGUGAAAAAAAUCAUAUAAAAAAAUACAGUUAUCAUCCACAAUAUUUUAAAGGAAAAAACUACAAAGUUAUAUUCUCAACCAGCUCAAUAUUAAAAAAAACAAAAUCGACAAAAACAAUUAUGAAAAAAAACACACAAAAAAUGAAAACAAGAAGAUGACAAUUUUGGAAGAAAAAAGACAAAAAACAAAUAAUAAAAAAUAGGAAAAAAAACAUGUGGGGAAAGUUAAAGCUAAAUUUUCAACCAGCUUAAUAUUAAAAUCAUUUAAGAAAAUAUUGUAGCAAUUUAUAGUAUUUUGUAAAAAAAUAUAUAACUAUAAUUCUUAAACAGUUCAAUAUUAAAAAAAAAUUAAUAAAAAUAAUUUUGAUGGAAAAUAAUUGGAUGUUGACAAGAAGAAGUAGAAAAUGUGCAAGGAUAACCAAAAGCAGGGAUGAGGAGACAGAGCAGUGUGGGAUGAGAAAUGGCAAAGGUGAAAGUCUGGUGAUGGUCUUUACUGUUGCUAUUGAUCAAUUCUUCAUUACAUUAAAUGAAGGACGAAUUUUUUGCUUUUAGAAGUUGUGAUGUGAGCUUUAAACAAAUUAUAUGUUUGAAAAAAACCUACCAUACCUCCUAAGAAUGUUUUUAGCAGUGUGGUAACUGUUAUUUUUCAAAUAAUUUUUUGUACCGAAAGGUACGUCAAUGAUUUUUUUAUUUUUUAAAAAUUAUUUUUAACCAUAUUAAAUUUUAAUAAAAAAAUAAAAAAAAAAUUUACAUCUUAGAAACACAAGUUGAACCGUGUUUCCAAUCACUGCCUAAGCUGCCGUCCUUGACUAUUAUAUUGAUUAGGCUCCACACGGUCGAGACUUGACUAGCUGUGCUUACAAUAAAGCAAUUCAAUUUUCAAAGAAGGAACAUGGCUGUGAUUUGAAGACAAGAUUUGUCUGCCGGUGUGAACCCAAACUUUUGUUCAAAAUGUGAGCCAAAAUCCAAUCUAAAUUAAUUUAGUAUAUAAAAAAGUUGUAUUUUUUUUUUGUAGUUGUUAUAAUUCUCUCUCAUCAAUUAAAAAAUUUUAAUCUUUAAUAUUGAAUUUUUAGGUUUAAAAAAGGUAAAAAUAACAAGUAAGCAAUUCUUUUUCAUGUUUGGUUUGUUUAUGAAAAAAUUAAGAUUUAUAAAGAUUUGAAGUUUAUGUUUUUAAAAUGAAUUCAUGAUUAUUAUGAAUUUGAGGUUAAGUGAUUAAUUUUGGAUGUGUUGUUAGAAAUAAAAAUUUGUGAAUUAAUUUGUUAAGGGUUAAGAAAUUCGCUUCAACUUUGCUAGAAAAUAUGGACAAAAUAAUUUUGAGGUUGAAGAUAAAGAAAUUGUAUUUUGGUCCUUGAUUUAUAAAAAUUACAGUGUAGUUCCUAAACAUUGAAAAAUUAUAAUUUGACCUGUAACUAUAUUUUGGGAUUCUGAGUGGUAUUAUUAUGAGGUUAAGGAUAAUGACUCUCAGUUUAAUAAUUGAUUUAGGAUAUUUUUAGUCUGGUCCUUUAAUUUUGAAAGUUUACAUUUUAAUCCCUGAACUUUAAAGAAAUUAUAGUUCGGUCCCUGGUUCAUUUCUAGAUAGAAUUGAAAAUGGUUUGUUGGUAAAAUUUCAAUAUGGUUAUGUAUUUACAAUUUGCUUCAAUUUUGGUAAAAUUUUGUUUUGGCUCGUGAUUUCUAAAAAAUGUUGUUUUAGUCCUUAAACUCAUAAGAAUAAACCUGGUUUUAUUUUAUGCAUUGGAAUAUAUUUAUUUGUUGUUUUGGGUUGUUUUUUAGUAUAUUCUGGAUAUUUGUUAUAGGCUCUCCUAACAAUCAUCAAUAAAAUUUUCGGGUUUUUCAUUUGAUAUUCCUUUUAGUUAUAUAUUUUCUAAGUGAGUGAAAUAAUCUUUUUAAUAUUUAUAUAGGUUGCUUUAUUUUCUGAAUACUGAUUUAUUCUUGAAUUUAUACUCGCAUUCUAUUAAACUAAAUUAUAUUCGAUAUGAUAUACAUUUCUUUGAUGAUUCUGCGAAUACCUAGCUGGUAAGAGAGGCAUCAACUUGUUGUGACCGAUCCUCCCACAAUGAUCAUUUUCGGGUGUCAUAUGAUCUUUGACAUAUAUUCAACUACUUUAUAAUAAUAUGCUUAAUAUGUGAUCCUCCACAAUGAUCAUUUCGGGUGUCAUCUGAUCACCUUCGGGUAUCAUCUGAUCUUUGACAUAUAUUCAACUAUUUUAUAAUAAUAUGCUUAGUAUGUAUAUGUUUAUCAAGAUAAAUCAACUUGCAAACUAUUAAUAUCUAAAAUAUAUAUUAAAUAUUAUUCCCUCAAUGAGUUGGUUGCACUCACCUUUUAUUUUUAAUAUUAUUUUAGGUUUUUAGUUUCUGUUAGCAAGUGGCCUUUAUUGAGUAUUCUUGCUUCUUCAAUUUUGAUUGAUAUGUCUUGCUUAUUUUAUAAGACUUUCCUUUUAGUUUUGAUUCGAUGUAUUAGACACUUCAUUAUUACUUUAUUUUAAUUAAGUUUAGAUUUUAACAAUGUAAUAAGUAUUAUGAAUUUUUUUUUUAAUUACUGAUAAGAAGUUUUGAACUAUCAUUUAGUUUUAUUAAUUUUGAAUAAUAUAAUAUUUUUAAAGAUAAUGAAAUGCUAUAAAUUUUUAGAUAACUUAUUCUUUUAAUAUGUUUAUUUUAAAACUUAAUGUAAAUGAAAUAUUCUUUUGACAUCGUUUCUAUAUUAUUAGUCAUGAACUCGGGAUUCAUAACUUGAAUUGCCUUGUUUGUUAGCAAACAUCUUCUUCUCUACUCUCAUUUUUUUUAAUCAAUGGCCAGUGGCCGUCGGUGACCCCAUAUCCAUGUAGCCAAGCUGCGCACUGGCCAGACCCUCGGAAACACCAAUAUCUUCCAGCGCUAGUGAAUGCAAGUUGCCCAAGAUUGUAAUUGCAAGAGCAGAAACAAGUGCAUCAGCCAUGUUUUUAGGGAAUCCAUGAUCGAAGAACAGUGCAUAGUGAACUUUUUUUUCCCCGGAUUUAAUUCAAAUAAAUGUGUUACCUUCCAAUUAAUCUGGUAAUUACAGAAGAAAGAAGGGAUCUUGAAUAACAAGAAGAACAACAGAAGAAAAGAAACAGAGAGAAAGAGAAACUUUUAGUAACAUUCAACACUGGUUUUUUUUUUUUUUUUUUUUUUAACAAAAUCAACAUUCAACUCACACCAUUAAUAUUGUAUAUUUUUUUUUUUGUUAAUCAUAGGUACCCCAUGUUAGCUUUCACAUACCAAACGAAGUCUUUACAACCCGAAAUCAAUUUUUACAUAAGAUUAAAUUGCAUGUUUGAAACGCGGUGAAAAUUAUAUUCUAAAACUUUUAAUUCUUUACUUAAGAUAAAUUUUUUAUAUAUUUUUAUUAUUUUGAUGUAUUUUAUUAAAAAUAAUUUUUUUUAAAAAAAUAAAAAAUUUUAUUUUAAUAUAUUUAUAUACAAAAAAUAUUUUAAAUCACCACCAUUAUUUCAAUUUCAAAAAGAUAAAGCCCUGUGACCCGUGGCCCUAAAAGAUUUAAUGCUAGAAAAAUUCAAACAGGAGAAAGCAAACCUCCAAGCCCAUAACUAAAUACGGCUAGACCAACUCUUUGAGUUUCUAUUUACAUUGUUUGCUUGCUAUUGAUACUUCAUUCAUGGACAGACCGGAGUCCAGCCUGACGUGCAGCAUCACGAACUUCAGGUUUCUCAGUUCGCCUCUUCUGUAUGAGUAUGACCUCCAAAGUAGCACCUACAAUAGACCUUGAGAAAGGCUUUUUUGUAGCACGACGUCUCUUCGUAAAAGUUUCAGCAGCAAUGUCCUGUAAUUAUUAGGAAAGUUGUAUCAAAAUCAACAUCAUGAGUUCUUAUCUAAAGGGAAACUCAUCCUACAAAUAGAAGUUAAUUGGAAACUACAAAAAAAUAGUCACCUUCUUAUGUUGCUUCCUGUACAUUCUGUCCAGGUUAACUUUGAGGGCUUCCACCUGCUGUGGAAGUAUCUCUUGCAUUUAGAGUUGGCAAAGAGGAAGACCUUAAUUGAUUGAAAAAGCACCACUUAUUAGUUUCAUGGAUUGUAUUGCAGAAGAUAUUAAAUAAAAACAAAACACAAUACGCCUUCGACUCCGAACUGCAAAUUACCUGGGAAUCUGAGCGAACGAAUCUGAUGCCCUUGCCAGGAUAUGUCUUCGCCCCACUGAACCGGCAGAGUUCAGUCCUGAAAUCUUCCAGACCAGACAAGUUUGAUGCUCGUCAUGAUAACAUAUUGAAAACCUCAGAUGAGAUCAUUUGCAUAUAAAAAUGCUUCAUUCCAAGACAUAUAAGUUUGAUGGUUAACAAUGGCGUAUCUAAAACCUCGAUGAGGUUAUUCGCACGGUCAUGACGAAUAUUCUCAGAGGUGCAUCAGAUCCUAAAACCCCUUGGCAGAGGUCCAAAAACCCUUUCAAGUGGUCACAGACAGCAGGAAACAAUGAACUCUCGUCCCAACUUCAACUUCAUUGAAGCCUUAGCCAUUCUGUUCUCUUUGCUAUGUUUUCACUAGAAGCAUAUUUAUGGAAGAGAAAUCAUGGAUCUUUGGAACAACAUCUGCAUAAAUCUAAUUCAAACUCUAUCAUUGCAAUCCCUUUUGAAUUUCAUCACUUUUUUUUAAAAAAAAAAGUGCUAAAAAGAAUGUAAAGUUUCUGAGAGUUUUCUUUCUUUUGCCUUGUUAGGAAAUUCUUUAUUAAGAAUGUAUAAAAAAAGAGUAAAUGGAGCUUUGCUUUGUUCUAGAUGAGCAUCCAUGCAUGGUUUAAUAAGUAGAGAAUAAAAUCUUCCAUGAAAGCUUUAGUGUGAUAGACUUGAAUUACAACAAAGAAACUGACAAGCUGAGCACUAGAAAAGAUCAUUCAAGAUCUCAAUUAUGAAGGUUAAAACCAAAGCAUAAAGCAUAUUAUACAUUACAGCAAAAUCUAAUCGAUCAUAGUCCAAGAUCUUACAUUUAUGCUCACCCCCUAUCCUUGUGCAUAAAAACAAAAAAACAAAAUUAGGUUUAAAAGCUACUAUUUAAACUGUAUUACAUAUAUAUAUAUAUAUAUAUAAAAUUUCAUAUCAAAACCAUAUAAAAAAAAUUAAGAUCUUAAAUUUAUGCUCACCCCUAUCCCUAUUUUUUGUAAUCAAGAUUCCUGAAAAGUAUGAUCUCAAAGCUACCUAUGUUUGAGUGAUUUGUACCGUACCAAAAUUUUAAUUCAUGUGCGCUAACUUGAAAAGCAAAUGAUCUGAAAUCAAAAUGGAACACAUGACUAGUGUGAUUAUGGACAUGUUGCAAGAAAAGGUUUUUACUCAAGAAAUUACUCGAAAAAAAGGUGAAAGAUGUUGUUCGGACGUAUAUUAGGAAUUUUAAUGAUUAUCAAUUACAGGUUGAAAGCUUUAGAAAAUAUUAGUUUGGGAAGGUAUGUUCUUCCCAAACUAGCUUUACAAAAUGUUAGACGGAGAAAUAUUGCAUUUGAGCAGGAAAUUGUAGUUUUACACAUAGUUUUAAAACCCGGACCGGCCCGGCGGAUUGACCUGGGACCCGGCCGACCCGGGCAUGGGACCGGUCUGGGUGGAGGUCAAAACCCGCUUGGGAAUUGGUCCGGCCAGACCCGGUCGACCCGAGACCCGGCCGCAAACCCGUUAACUUUUUUUUUUUGUUUUUUUUUGUGUUAAAACGACGUCGUUUUGAUUUUUUAAAAAAAAAUUAAAAAAUAAAUUUUGACCCGGCCGACCCGGUCAAAAUCCGAAACCCAGGCCUUAGACCGGGCCGGGUCUUAAAACUAUAGUUUUACCUUUUCUUACUCUUGUUUCAAGAAAUUUGAAGUACUCUUCUAUUUGUGAAUAAUUUAAUAUUUCUUUAAGUGUAUUUUUUAUUAUUUCAUGUCAAAACCAUAUAAAAAAAAACAAUUAAAAGGGCACAGUUUUGAUAUUUUUAUGGAAAAAAUUAAUUAACAAAAUAUUUUCAAUUAUAUUACUAAACAUGCAUCUAAGCGACAUGACUCACUUGUUUUUGGUUGGUGCAUGUUACAUACGUUAAUGACCAUUAAUAAUUUUUUUUUAUUAUUGAAUUUGUUUUAUUGAAUUUUUUUUAAUUAUAUUAAAAAUAUUAUUAUUAAAGUUUCAAUGUGUUUUCAAUUCUCUUUUCUCUUUCUUGUUGAAGUUUGUAAAACUAUUUUUUAUGUAUUUUUUAAAUAGAUGCACUUUCUAACUAUAAGAAUUUGAAAAAAUCACAAGUGGAAAUUGCUAUUUACAUCAAAUUAGAAUAAUUUUAAAAUAUUUUUCUUUGUGUUAAUUAGCUAUUUAAAAAAACAAAAAAAAUGUGAUUUUAUUUUUAAAAAACUCCCAUCUUAUAGCAUUGGAUUAGGAUAAAGGUGCUUUCAAAAUUUGUGCGUAGAAUAUGUUCUUUCUAAUAUUCCGAUCAAUGACCAUCCAAUGGGUUUCUUGUAACCAUCAUCAAUCCAAUAUUGGAGAUAAGGUUUCCAGAAUCAUAAAGCCCUGCCGUUUUGGCACCUGAUGCCAACAUUAUUGGCCUACAGAAAGACAAUCAAAACUACUAAAGGCCAAUCACCGCCAUGCGAGUAAAGAUAUGUUUCGGAUUGAGUUUUGAAAAUAUUUUUGAAAAAAAAUGAUUUUUUUUUUAAAAAUCAAGGUAAUAUAAUGGGUCAUGUAUACAAAUAAAAUUACUGACAUAACUGAUUUCGUUUGUAAAAUCCAUCAAUAAAUUCAUUUGUAAACUGUUAACUUCUUCCUGACACUGUUUAUCAUGUCAAUUAUAAAGAAAAUCAUUGACAAAAUAUUCUUUUGAUAUUUCUUAGAGAACUUUGCAACUAUUUACUUUCCAAUUGCACUAUUAAUUAUUAUUUUUUAUAGAUAAAAUCACUGACGGAUUGAAAAUUUAUCGGUGUUAUCUGGCGGGUUUCUGAAAAUCUUUUAUUAAAUUAAAUAUUACAGACGAAAUCACCGAUGGAUUGAAAAGUUGUAGGUGAUAUUUGGCGGUUUCUGAAAAUUUUGUAUUAAAUUGAAAAUUUAAAUUAACUAUUACAGACGAAAUAAUUGACGGAAUGAUUAAAAAUAUUAAUAUUUAAUUAUUCAUCUGUAAAACACCCAAUAAAAAGACUAGAAUCCUUUAUUUCACAAUAGACGUGCCUCUUUUUUCUUCUUCUUCUUUUUUUUUUUUUUAAAAAAAAACAUCAACAUCCCUUUCUUUCUCUUCUCUCCUCAACUCCUUAUUUAUUUAUUUAAACGCUGCUUUUCAUUUUUAUUUUAAUGCUAUGUUUGUUUAUGAAGUUGCAUCUGUGUUUGAAGCAAAACACAGGAGUAACAUAUUUGAUAAUAAAAAAAACAUCAUUUACUGUUUAUGGGCCCCAUUGUUAUCCACCUUUGCAACGCAGAAUGAGACAAAGUAGCUCUUCGCUGCUUUUGUGGAGAGUGAAAAGUGGAGGGUGACUCCACUAUUCCGGUUGGAAUGGGUCCAAUUCAAAGCUAAAAAUGCAUUGAACCGGAUCCGAUCCAGUAAAAUAAAAAAAUCAUUUUUUUUAUUUUUAAUUGUGUUUUAUUAAAAAAAAAUUAGUGUUUUAACAUUAUUCAAUGACAUUAUAUAAAUUAUACGGGGAUUGCUUAAUGACGUAAUAUUUGUAGAAUUUGAUCAUAAUCCUAAUUUUAUUCAUGAUGUUGUUGUGCGCUUAAGAAACCAAGAAAACUGUAGUCAUUGUUGAAUGUAUUUCAUAUGUAAUGGAAUUGUAGAUAGUUUAAUGGAACAAUAAAAAAUAUUUUAUAUAAAGUAUUAUUUAUUUUAUGAUGUAAUAACAGUAAUUAAAUCUACAAUAUUUAAAUUAAAAACCAUCAAUAGUAAUAUAUAUUUUUUGAAAUUAUUUUAUAAUCUCAAUUUGAAAAGCAUUCUUAACCAAAUACAUUAAACUAUUUUUUAGUUCAACUUUAAUUUUAACCAAACAUAUAUAAAUAUCAAACCAACCUUAACUAAAAAUACUUUUUAUAAAAUACAUUUUUCAAACCACAACCAUAAAAGCUACCACAAUACCAAACACACUCCAGGUGUGUUUAUUUCUUGGAAAGUGGUUUCCCAGAAAUCACUUUCCAAACUUUCAUGUAUUUAUUUGCCAUUAUGAAAGUUGAUCAACAGAAAACACUUUCCAGUCAAAGAAAAAUUUGGCUUGGUUUCCAGGAAAGUGUUUUCCUUUUAUUUUGGGCGAAAAACACUUUCCGGAAGUUGUGAAAAAUUUAGAAAUGUCAUAUUAUUUGUUGAUUAUAUCAAAUUUGGUCCUCAAACUUUUGAUUGCUAUAUAUAUUUUGUUUUGAAUAUUUGUUUUUCAAUUUCAUCCCUUAGAAUUGAAUUUUUAUAUAAACUUUGGUCCUCAUUUUUAUUUUGCUUUUCCCUUAUUAUUUUUUAAUUGGAAUUUUUUAUCUAUCAAAUCUGGUCCUCAUUCUUUUGAUUGUUAUUUAUUUUAUUUGAAAUAAUUUAUGAAAUGAUAAUUAUUAUUAUUUUAAUUUCUUCAUCUUUUUAUUUUUUUAUUUUUUAGAUUUGAUCUCUAUUAUUUUGAUUAUUAUUUAUUUUAUUUGAGAUAAUUUAUAAAAUUAUAUAUAUUUUUUUAAUUUCAUUCUCAUUCAACUUUUUAAUUUGUAAGAUUUAUUCCUCAUUAUUUUAAUAAAUUUUAAAAAAUAAAAUAUUAAUAAGUUAUUUUCCAGCUCAUUUUCCAUGACAUAACCAAAUACUAAAAAGUAUUUUCUAAUUUAUUUUUCAUGAUACUAUCAAAUAUUGAAAAAUAAUUUAUUUUUCUAAAAUUUAAUUUUUUUUAAAAAAUUUACUUUUCAGUAAAUAAAUAGGAACUUAACUGACACCUCCCAAGUCCUAACGGAUAUCAUGGACCCGUAGGGUAGAUAUUGCCCCUUAGGAUCUUGCUUUCUUCUUCUAAGGCCCGCAUGUUGAUAUUGACCAUCUUGGGCACUUAUGGAACUUGGCCUGGGUUGACAGGUCGACCUGCGACCUGUUUACCCGGGCAUUCAAACUGGAUUGGAAAUUAAUUUUGUUAAACAAAGGUGAUAUGUUCUAUCAAUUCAUAAUUAUCGAUUCGAUUGAUCUAAUUAAUUUUUUUUUAUAUAAAAAACAACUUCGUUUAUUUAUGUUUAUUUAAUUAUUUAUAACUUUUUAUGCCUAAACGAGCCUGGACUUGGAUCGAAUCAGAUGACGAGCCUGGUCUGAUAACUUAGCCUUGAAGUUUAUUCUGUUAGAUCAUUAUUGUUUACUGUGUUAGGCAACAGAUAUCCCUCUAUUCAUACUCAGCUUAAUUUUUCAAUUUUGACUUUUAAAAAUAUGGAGAGAUAUAUGUCAAAUUCCGAUCGGUUCUGAUUUUAAGGAAAAAUAAAAAUUUAUUAAGAAUUCAAAAACAAAUUCAAAAAAUGCUAUUUUUUAUAUAAUUUGAAAAAAUAUAUAUUCUAAACUUUGUUUUAUAAAGCUAAAAAAUUACUAAAAAAUAUAUUUAAUUUAUAUUUAUGUAUACGAUAAUUGUUAAUUUAUUUAAUACUUGUUAAUUUAUUUUUUAACUUUAUUUUAUAAAGCCAACAAUGAUUAAAAAAUAUAUUUAAUUUUUAUUUAUUUAUACUAUACUUGUUAAUUUAUAUAACACUUUUUUAUGUCUUCAUCAAAAUUUUCGUGAAAAAUUAAAUUGAAAAAUCAUGGCUAUGAAAAAUAAACAAUACUCAUUUACUCCCUCAAAUAUGUUUCAUCAGUAAAUCCAUAAUUUUUCUUCGCUGAAUAUCAUUAGAUUUUCAUAAAAAGAUAUGAUUAUAAAGGUGAACAUCUUAGUGAUUUUUUAAAUUUUAUUAUUAUUUUUAGAGUUCUAAAUAAGAUUUUCUUUAAAUUAGAACCAAUAGAAAUCUAACUCGUGUUCUUCCAUAUCUUUAAAAGACAAAAUUAAUGAAAUAUUAGGCUUACUCUGAACAGAGAGAUCUAUACUGCCUAGUAGACAAAAUCAUAGAAACCCAAUUAUAUAAAUUUAAACCAUAAGGAUAUCUUUAUCAAAUAUCAAUAUAUCAGAGAGAUUCAUAGUACCAUUAAACCAAAGUUACACCUAAACUUGUCAUGCAAUAAAACACGUGCAUAUUCAUACAAUAAAAAUAAUAAAUAGACGUAUUUCUCCCUUUCUAUUACAAAGAUCAUUGCAAUACUUAGUAGAUGUAAACGGAAGGGAUGUGAGCUAUCUUAGGCCAGUCUUCUCCUCGCUCCUUCUCGCACCUUUUCUUCAAAUUUGGACAAUUUUCAAUUAUCAAGUCGCUGAGGUUGCUGAGACUCUGUAGCCCUUCUGGCAAACAUACCAAAUUAGGGCAUAUACAGAGUGUUAGAGAUCGGAGAGAAGUAAGAUGUUGGAUACUCUUUGGCAAUGAAUUCAGCUCUGGACAAAGUCUAAGCUCCAAAUCCUCAAGUACUGUCAGAUAUUGCACUCCCUCGGACAGAGACACAAAUUUAUCACAAUUGCUAACAGAUAACUUACGAAGAGAUGAUAAGCCGGACAACCCAUUCAUUGGCAGAGUGUAUAAUCUUGUACAACUAUCUAUCUCUAAAACCUCCAAAGAAGUGAGUUUUCGAAGACCUUCCUCUGGCAAGCUUUCAAGUUCAUCAAAAUGCCGGAUACUCAAGCUUUUAAGAGCUGAAAGGUUGUCAAAUACCUUAUUUGACAAAGACGGCAGAUUUCUCAUCCCAACCAUAUAUAAGAACUCGAGGAGUGUAUGAUUUUGCAAGAACCCAUCUGGAAGCAGCCUCACAUCAAUCCAUUCAAUAGAAAGGAAUGUGAUAGAAGUAAAUUUCAUAACUGACAUCAGUAACGAAGCAUUGCCUCUAUCGAUGAUUAACCUUUUGACGGAAGGUAUAAUUGGUAUUUCGGUCAACAAGGGGCAACGAACUACAGAUAAUUCUCGAAGACGAGGAAAACUACACGGAGCCCAUUGCUCUAGUCUCUUCAUUGAAAUAAAUUUCAGCCUCUCCAAAGAUGGGAAUGGAUUUUGCUCAUCUCCAUACACAUGGCUGUCAAUACACUUCACACCAUCCAUUCCAUCUAGUUCAAGAUUCUUGAGGAACUGUAAUUUCCCAAAUGGUGGAAGUUGUUCACAGUUGCCACAUGCUAUUAGCUUCAUCUCUACUAGAUUCGGUAGCAUCAAGUUCAAGUUCAUCAUCCACUUUGGAAAUUUUGAACCCCCAUAUCCAAUUAAUCUCAAUUCCUUCAGAUUUGAAUGAGGUUGAAGCCCAUCAAGGACAUCCUCAUUAUUUUCAGCUGAUUGCACACAAGUAAAAGGGCGGCGACCUCCAUUCUCAUUCCAACAUAAAUUCAGUGAUAGAAGAGUUGUCUUCAACAUCAAAUUGGCACUUCUGGCAUCUGUUAAAUUCUUAACAUUAACAAGAUCUGUGAUGCUUAGUUCACCAGCAAGAUUAUUCAGCCUUUCUAGCUCCCCUAAGUGACGACCAUCCUCCUUACCCACAAUGAACAGCCCAAGUUUUCGCAGGCAUGUUAAUUGCCCCAUUCCAAAUGGCAUAAAUCGAAGUGAAUGACAGCCCGUGAUGUCAAGAUAGAUGAGACUUUCCAUAUGCUUCAUACCUCUAGGUAAUUCGAUGAGCAGUGUACAAUGACUCAGAUUUAGUGUCUGAAGAUUUUGGAGGGAGGUGAUUGAUGCAGGCAAUUUUUCAAUGUGGGAAUAGGAGACAUCUAGAAACCUUAGAUGUUUCAAAUAACAAAUUGACUUUGGCAAUGUAUUGAGAUGGAUACCUAUAUGCAAGGCUCUCAGAUGCUUUUGUUGGGUGAAAUAAAGAUGCAAAUCAUCACUCACAAGGCGUGUGUGAUGAUAAACUCCAGAAAGCAAAAUUGAGCGUAGAGACCUAGAUUUGAAAUCCUUGUCUUCUGGAACAAACUGUGAUGUCCUGUAUGCACCCACAUGACGAAUUGUUUUAGGAAUUUGCAACUUUGUAUUGCCCUCAAUCAAACAACAUUCUCUCUUCAUAAUGUACUGUGCAAGAUCAUGGAUAAGAUCGUGCAUUUUACAUGUCAUGUAGCCCAGCGCAUCAUCCCUGACUUCUUGAAAAAAAGACCUCCCAACUAAUUCGUGGAAAAUCUCUUCACCCUUAUCGUGCAAAUCCAUUUGCCCAGUGCUCGAAAUGAAGCCAUUUGCCAUCCAUAGAGCUACCAACCGCUCCUUCCGAAUGACAUAAUCUUUGGGGAAUAUAGAGCAAAAUGCAAAGCAUUGCUUCACAGCUGGCUUUAGAUUCAUAUAACUCAAACUCAAGGCAGGUAAUAAUAUCUGGCUUCCUUCAUUUGGCAGAUCCCAAAUCUCACUUUCUUUGACAGACAGCCACUCCCUUUCACUUUUCUUCGAGCGCAUCAGGCUUCCGACUGCUCUUAUAGCCAACGGAACUCCGCUACACUUCUUAACUAUCGCUGCUCCAAUGUUUUCCAAGUGACCGUACUCCUCUCUCCUUCUCAUACCAAAUGCAAGCAGCUUAAAUAAAAGCCAGGAAUCCUCAUCCGACAAUGUUUCCAUAUGUUGAACAGGAUUUGUGGCCAUUUUUUCAGCCAUAGUUCCCAAACGAGUAGUCACAAUAACUGCACUUCCUUUAGCUCCACAGCUCAAUGCAUCUUUCAACUUGCUCCAGUUAUCAUGGUCAUCAUCCCAAACAUCAUCCAAUAUGAGCAAAAACUUCUUACCACGUAAAUUUUCUUGGAGGCAUCGUAGAAGAGCAUCCAACUGUGGAAUAUUUGCAGUAGUGCGUUGAAUGGACUCGAUGAUGGCUGUUGUCAAUCUUUUUAUGUUGAAAUCAACUGAUACGCACACCCAAAUCCGCAAAUCAAAAUGCCCUUCUAUUCUUCCGUCGUUGUAGACUAACUGAGCAAGUGUUGUUUUACCCAAGCCCCCCAUUCCACAUAUAGCAUAAACAGAGAAAUCAUCUGAACUGGUGAGCAGCAUGUUGACCAGAUCUUCUUUCUCCUUGCCCCUUCCAUAAAUUCCUGAUUCAUCCACCCAUGACCAAGUCUGACGCCAAUCAAAACUAUCUGCUUCUAUCUCCAAAGCCCCUUCAAUUAAAUGGAAAUCGUGUCUCCCCUUGGCAAUGCGAUCUAGUGUUUCUGUAACAUUCUUCAAUUUACGAGCCAUCCUUUGUCGAAAAACAAGAGGAUUAUGAUUGAUAGAAAAGAAGGAUCUUAGCCAAUUUUUGAGAUCUCUUCGCUGCUGAUGCCACUGAGCUUCAAAAGCAAACUCAUCCAGUACAUCAUCAACAACAUAAGCUGCAUCCUUGAGGUCGCUGAGCCACACCUUGAUAUGCUUACUCUUCCACUGCUUCUCCUCUGCAUCUUGCAGCACAGCUUGAAUGGUUAUGAACGUGCGCUUGAGAUUUUCAAGCUCGGUCGUUAGGCCCCUAGCAAGUCCAAGCUCUUGAAGAACUAGGGAAUUCAAGUUCCCCAUUAUUGUACUCGCGAGAGCAGAAAGAAUUGCAUCACCCAUGGCUUGUUUUGGAAUGGAAAAGAAGAAGUAGAAAAGGUGCAAGGAAAACUAAAAGCAGGGGAGGUGAGCAAGAAAUGGCAAGUAAAAAUUGAGAAGACAGCAGUAUGAGAUGAAAAAUGGAAAAGGCAAACAGCAGUCUCUGAUUAUAUUGAUUAGGCUCCACACGGUGCAGGCUUGACUUGGCUAUGCCUAUAAUAGUAUAAUAAAGCAAUUGAAGUUUCAGAGAAGGAACAUAGCUGUGAUUUCAAGCAACAUUUGUCAAUUAUCGCAUGCCUUUUCCUGUUUUAAACAGAAACGUGAUUAACGCUUUUGGCUGUGAAUUCUCAAGGGUAUUUUUCUUUUCAAUAUAUUCUCCAUUAGUUAGAACACAGUGCAAAAAGUUUUUCAUAAAUGUGUUUUAAUCCUCGGUUAGAGUUAAUUUAUUCUUAAUGACAGUAGAAUGACAUCAUAAUCACAACUAAUCUCAAAAACUUAUUUAAUCAACUUAAUAUUAAAUAAUAAAAUAAAAUAAAAAAUCGAGGUAAUCAAGCAACCCGCGACCUGGACAAAUUCCAACAGGAACACAAGAUUGGUUAUGUAAAAAAGAAGUGCAGAAGGACCAAAUAAUUGCUCACUCCGUGGAAUAAACAAAUAUUAGUCUAUCUUGGACAUGAAUAGAGAAAGGUUAUUAUAUUUUCAAAUAUUUGUGAUUUGAGAGUUGGGGUUCAAUUUUAUCAAAAUAUUAAAACCGCUGUCUUUUAACUACACUGAUUAGGCUCCACACGGUGCAGACUUGACGAACAUUGAAUGUCUGUAUUAAAGCAUUGAAGUUUCUGAGCAGCGACACGGCUGUGAUUCGAAGACAACAUCUGUCAACUUGAAUUUCCUUGUUGGUUACUAAACGUCUUCUUCCCGCGCUUGCCAACCCGCGUGGCUCUACACACUUAAAUUUUAAAGAAUUACAUUAGGCUCCACACGGUGCUGACUUAACUAGCCAUGCCUGUAUUAAAGCAAUUGAAGGUUCUGAGAACCAACACAGCUGUGAUUAGAAGACAACAUUCCACCUUGAUUUUUCUUUUCAAUUGAAGUUUUUGCUUGCUCAAAUAAUUUAUCUAUGCAAAAGUCAAAAUGUAUUUUUAUAACGAAAUAAUUACUUUCUCAAAUAAUUCUGAUUACAAAACUUUAAAUACCAUUGAAAAUGAUUUUUCAAUAAGAAAAAUGCAUACAUGCCUAGUUGCUCAUAUGCUAAUGUACUUAUCCACUACUGUGCUAAUUUGUGAAAUAUUUUUGUCUACUGCGUAUAGAAAAAAACUCUCAAAUUUCUCUUUGUUCUCUGUUGUACCAUCAAAAGAAAAAUCCAAAGUGAUAAUGCAACAUCCAAAAGUAUAAAAUAUGGUAUAAAAACCAAAUAAAAAAAUAAUAAUUAGGGAUUAAAUUAAAAAAUAAAAUAAAAUAAGAAAAAAAUUUAAAAAUAGCAAUAAAAAGAAUAAAAACUAUUAUUUAAUGAAGAAAUUAAAUGAAAUAAAAUAUUGAGAGUUAAAAAUAAAAAACAAUAAAUCAAGAAAAUAAUAAGAAAAAAGAAAUUAAAAGAAUAAUGAUAAAAUUUAAAUUAAAAAAUUUUAAAAAAUAAAAUGAUAAAGGAAAAAAUAAAUCAAGAAAAGAGUAAAUUAUAUUAAAAAAAAACAUUAAACAAAACAAGAAUUAAAUUAGAUACCAAAACUAAAUAAAAUAACUGACUGGGCUCUACACAGUGCAGACUUUGACUAUCUAUGCCAAUUGAAGUUUCAGAGAAGUAACAUGGCUAUGAUUCGAAGACAACAUUUAUGAACUUGAAUUAGCUUGUCGGUUAGUGAAUGUCUGUGUCCCGCACUGGCCAAUCCGCGUGGGUCUCACACGCCAGGCAUGAAAGACAAGAAUGCCUCAAUCAGAUGCAUGAACAUAAAAGAUGGAAGAAAAGAAAAGAUGGUGGAGUCCUUUAGGUGGGUCUCCACGAAGAAAUUAUGCAACCAAGAGGCAAUGUACCCUUCACUUUCAUAUCCAAAGAUCGCAAAAUAUCUGAUCAAAACUGUGAUCCAAUUUUGCCCGUGUGAGAUGGAGGAACUUCCCGGAGGAGGGAGGGUUUUUAGGCGAGUUAAGCAUCUCCAAUAGAGAUGUUAUUUUAAAAAGAUAAAUUGAUAAAAUAAUAUUUUAAAUAGUAUAAAUAUAACUUUUUUUACGAUGUAUAUUUUAAUAGAAAAAAGUUAUUUGAAAAACCAAUUCUAUUAUAAUAGAAUAAAUAAGUGUUUUAUAUUUUUUUAAUAAUUUUGAUGUUAUUUUUUUUCUACAUGGCUAGAUUUAAUUGAUUUUUUUUUUUUUGCCCCACUUGGUUAAUUUUGGCUUUUUUAAAAGAUAUAUAGGAAUAAUAUUUAUGGAAAAGAAAAGGUAUUUUAGCAUUUUAUUUAGCUUUUUCUUUGAAGUAUAAAAACAAAUAAAAAAAAACCAAAAUAUUAUUUUUUUAUUUUUAAAUAUUUAUUUAGCCUCUCCAUUGGAAAUGCUCUUAAGGUUUGGUUUCAUUGCUAUGGAGGAACUUCCCGGAUUCCGGCUACAAGCCUAUCUACCUAUCUUUAACUUGUCCUUGUGGGUGUGAGUUGUGACUUCUGCUUCCAACAUAUGGAUUGUGCUUUAUAUAAUUUUAUAAAGAUCCAAAAUUGCAUGAAAAAAAAUAAAAAAAAUAUAAAACUUUAAAGAGAGAAAUAAUUAAGCGUUGAAGAGACACCAUAAUUCUAUUAUAGGGAAACUCUCAUGUUACUCUCCAACUUGUAUAUCCAUUCUCAAUUACAUUUAAAACCUACGAAUUUUUUCAAUUAGGUUCCAAACAUUUCAAAAUAUUCUCAAUUAGUGUUUUUUUUUUUUUUUUGUCAACGUUGUCGGUAUUUUUGUCAAAUAUUCUUAAAACCGAUGUCUGUUUUAGAGCAUAAAUAUACAUAUUGGAUAUAAAAAAUAUGAAUACUCGUAAAAAACAGUUCCUCUAUUUUUAAAAGAUAAAUUAAUUAAAUUUUUUUUAAAAAUAAAUUACCUAGUUCAUUGACCAGGUUACUUUUUUUAUAAUAUUUAUUUAUUCAUUUCCUUUCUUCUAUUUUCUUUUUAAAAAAAACGUAAAUGAACAGAAAGGACUAAAUAUAUAUAUUUUUUUUUAAAUAACUAAUUACUUCAUUUCUCAAAACUAAAAGGACUUAGUUUUAUAAUUUAGACCACAAGGGUGCAUUGGAAACCUUGGACUCCAAGGGUGAGUCAUCUCCACGUACUAUUGAGGAUUAGGAUGAAUAUUGAAAGUGACCUUACCUGCAACACGUGGUCGUAUGGUCUUUCAAUUUCAGGUGACACAUGGGUCCCACAAACCAUCAUCAUUUUAUUUCAUUUUCCCCUGCCUUGUGGAGAGAAAAAGAAAACCAACCAAGUCUUCUUCCUCCCUCUCUCCAGGACAGGAAGCGGGACCCAAUCUCAAAUACCCAACCCAAUCCUAGCCGUUGAUUGUUUUUUUCCUGGAUUCCUACUCUCUCUAUCUAGCUAUCUACCUGAUCCAGCUGGAUUUAGCUGUUACAAACUGUAACAAUCAUAUUUCACCCGCUUGAGUUGAGCUUGAGCUAUCUACCUAGCUAAGCCGUCGAGCAGUAAUAUUCAAGCCGACUUGAAAUAUUAGCUGCCAUUACGAUUUCCGUCACCAGUCUAACAUCUAAUUAAUAACUUUAAUAAUCAUUCAUUUCAUAUAUUAAUAACAAUAACAAUAAUAAUAUUGUACUCAAAACUUAUAAAUAAAAUAAAAAUUUUGAAUUUUUAAAUCUUAUAUAAGAUAAUAAUUCUUAUUAAAUAAUUUCUUACCAUCAUAAUCAUUAUAUUAGCCACAAUAAAAAUUAUCGGAUCUAGACAGUUAGGCAUAACCUCGAGCCCAGCUCGAUUAUAAAAAAAUAUUUCAGCUUUCAUCGCCCACAAACCUCCCUCCCUCCCUCAUUUUUUAUGGUUUAAUUCUAUAAUACACUUCAAGCUAUUAGGACAAUAUUGAAUUUAUAUUUAAACUAUUUUAAUUAUAAUUAUUCCGAGUCAUGAGAUCAUAGGUUGCUACAACGCAAUUUUUCUAUGGACAAAAUUUAUUUUAUAGUGCCGGCGGGGUAUCUUUUGAAGUGUUCAUGUAUAAAUUUGAAGCAAAGUAAUGAAGAGACGUGAGACAAUGCAGUAGUGAAACAGAGUUAUUUAUUCAUACCUCUUUCUUAUGAAGAGACGUACAUGUGUAUAUAUAGAGUGGGAAAAACUUGCAGCAAGGAAAGACAAUCUUGCAUAUAUUUUCUCCCAUGAUUAUUGCUAAGAUUAUAUGUUAAUAGUAAAUACACAAUCAUAUCUAAACUAGAUAACAAGUACUUGAUGAGUUGUUGCCAAUGGUUAGGUUUAAGAGAAAAACAUGGCAGCUCCUCCUUUAUGGGUAUGCUAUAUAUAUACUUCAUCUAACCAACAAAAGAGAAGUAAUAUAUUUUUCUUUGCAGAUAUCUAGAGACAAAGUUCUUCUCUGCAGUGAAGCCAAUGUAGGGGAGACCUGUAACCCUGAUUUUUUUUUUUUAAUUAAUAUGGUUAUUCGGGUUAGCUUACGCCUACUUCGAUUAAUUCUAUUGCAUGAACCUUGAAAUUAAUAACUAUAUAAGUCUUCAAUAAUCUUGAAAAUAUUUAAAUUCAUGAUCAUUAAAGAAUAAACUCAAAAUUUAACUUGUUGAGUUACCCCUCAAGAUUUCUAAUACCCUGACUCUUGUUUACACACAAUGCCGGCGGUGAUAGUUAGGGGUGAUCAUUUUCGAUUUGGUUCGGUUUGAUUUUUAUUAAAAAAAAAUAAUCAAACCAAUUUUUUUUUUUUAAACCAAAACUAGUUCAAACCAACCGGUUUUGGUUCGGUUUUUUAGGACAAAAAGCCGGUUUGGCUCGGUUUUCUUGGUUUUGACUCAGUUUUUUCUGGUUUUGGCUCUGGUUUUUUGAUUUGGCUCGAUUUUUUCUGGUUUGGGUCCGGUUUGGUUUGGUUUUUUGGUUUUAGACUUAUAAAACCAAAACCAAACCAACUGAUUUUUUUAAAAUUUUAAUUAAUUUUUUUCACGAUUUAAUUUUUUCAAUUAUUUUUUUCAGUUUUCUUAAUUUUUCGAUAUUUUUACUCACUCUAUCACUCUAUCGUAUGUUUUGUUUUUUACAGUAAAGAAGGCUGGUGUUCUUACUAUUAGUUUUUUUAUAUAUAUAUAAAUUAAAGAUCAUUAAUGGAAUCUGCUAUGGAAAGAAUAUUCAAAUAUUAGAGAAGUGCACAGGGACAAAAUAAUUGCUCACUCCCUGGAAUAAUCAAAUAUUAGUCUAUCUCGAACAUGAAUAGAGAAAGGAAGAAAAGAACACGUCAUGACUUUGAACAGAGAAAGUAAUAAUUGCCCAUUCGCCUUGAAAUUCUAGCUGUACAGCAUUUGGAAUUUCACGAGGCAAAAGAUUCUUAACAAUGAGUUAAAUCUCCCUUUUGAGGUGGUGACCUGACCUGUCGGAAUUGCUUUAUAGACAAGAAUGGAUUCAUGAGUCAUAUUCUACAAGAAACAAGCAAGUCAUUUGACUCACAUAAGAAAGAUGGAAAUAUAUUUCCCCUUUAAUAAAGAGCUAAAAGGGUACGCUAGAAAUUUAAAAUUUUUUAAAAGUACAGUCCAAACAUUGUAUAAUUACCCUCACAAACUUUCAAUAAUAGAUACCAUUUGUUACGCAUAAUUAUGGUAUUUCAAAUUACGCGUGCUUGCUGUGAUUUUCUUCCAUGCACAUAUCUCAAGUAAAUGAAAGCAGGCUUCUGGAACAUGAAGAACUGAGAGGUGCCCGUGCCCUUGCCUUUCAUACAGCGAAGCACCAAUCCAGGUCCGUUCAUGGCUUUUCAGCAAACAAGGAAACCAUUGGCGAUGCUUUUACAGAGUGCUCAAUCACUUUUCUAUUUUUUACAUUAGAAUUUAGAUGGAUACAGAGUGCUCAACCAUCGGGUUAUAAAUUUCAUUUUACUAACAAAACAAUGUUCCCGGGCAACACAUCUCCCCUCGAGUUAUAAAUUUCAUUUUACUUUUUUUUUCGUUACUGACAACGUAUAAAUUUCAAUUACUUAAUUUUUUACUGAAAUUUCAUUAUAACUUAAUAACAAAAUGUAGAUCAUAUAUACUAAGAUUCGCUCCAAUAGAAGCAAUGACCAUGAUGCAGUGACACAUGGAAAAGUUAUACAGUAAUGUAGGUCAUUCUCAGGCUUUUUUUUUAUUUUAUUUUUUUUGUAGUUUUUCUAAUAUACCCAUGACAGGGUAGACUUGUCCUAUAUAGACGAAUCAACUGUUAAAUGUUCCACAAAGAGUAUGGCAGGCCAAAAACACUCACUAUGUUUUGUUAUGUAGGCAUGCAGCUGCUCUUUCCAGGGCUUUCUCUUUGUUGUUUUUAACAAAAAAAGCAGAGAUAUUUACUCAAACCUUCUCAGGCAUUCAUAUCAAACGAACCCUAGCUACGUGUGAAGAAGAUUGAAAGAGAAUGAUCAGUAAGGAUACAUAGAGGAUUUAAAAGCUGUGAAAGCUUGCUCAUGUAGUCGCUGGAUGAAUUAAUCGAGGAGUUUACAAAUAGGCUGGAAUUGCAUCGACACUGAAAUUAACACCUUCAAUUCAAAAAUGAUUUUGACAUUUUGCAGAUAUGGUUCCUUAUCUACAGCUUAGUGAUAUUUAGAGAGAGUUUUCGGCAAAUGCAGCCCACAUUACUAUUCAAUCUCAUGAUGAUGCGUGGCAUCAGAUCGAAUUGUUGAGUUUUCGCGUUGAUAAUCUUCAAAUUUUCUGCAUUUGGACCUAACUGUGAGAUGAAUGGUUUUAUUCGUCAUGACUGUGCAAAAACUUAUUUAAAUCAUCGUUAUUUUCAAAUUAAAGAAAAAUAUUUAUGAUCACAUUUAGUUAAAAGUUACUCUUUAGAAUCAAAUUGAACUAGAUUUUUUAAUUCAUGUCAUCUCAACUAACUUUUAUCAAACGCUUAUAAGAUCAUAGAUCCUUAUGAAUAUAGUAUUUUUUGUAGUUGAAUAAUGGGUUUAAUCAAAUCUCCAUGCUAUUGAUUCAUUUUUCAUGACACAAAAAGGUGAUAGCUUGAUGUAAAAUUCUAACACUUGCAAAAUAGUUUUUUUUUAAUGGAUUUGAAUACCUUCAAAUGCUUAAUUAAGCAAGAGGAAAAUAUAUAAAUAUGCAAAAGAAUAUUAAAUUCUAAUAACAAAAUUAUUUUUUUGUUUUGAUAUGAAAAUAUGUAUUUUAUAAGAAAAUGAUGAGUGUAUGUUGAGAUUGAAAAUUAUAACCCUUAUAUGGAUAGUUUAAGGAGUAUCUAUACCCAAAAACAUUAUCAUUUUCCUUAAGUGAAGGGGUUUGAAUUAUUUCACCAUGAUAGCAUUAAAGAAGAACAAAAAUCUUUCAUAUAUAUAUAUAUAUUAUUAUAUAUUAAAGAGAAAUAUUUCUAACAUAAAUAUUUAAUAAAAUUUAAUACGUAAUAAAAACUCUUGUACACCGAAAAUAUAGAUUGAACAUGAUUCAACUAAAGAACUUGAAUAAAAUAAAAAUAUCAAGAAAUUUGAUACGGGUAGAAGCCACAAGACAAUGCUCAAAGGUAUUAAGCCUAGCAUGGGCCUAAAACCUUUUUUAAAAUGUUCUUCCUGAGUUGUCGUUAAAACAUGCUUGGAUUAACAUGUAAAAUGAUAAGAGAAUAAUAGAAUUUGCUGGAAUGAAAUUAUUAUUGAUUGCAUUGCAUAUUUAUAUAAGAGUAUCUACAUUUAUCUCUUCUACUAUGAAUCCAACACUUGGAAUUCAUUGUCCUAUAAAGAAUUAUUAUUACAGUAGGAAAUCAUGUAUAAAUUAUUCAUUCCUAAUAUAUCUCUAUCAGGAUUCCUAAUACUCCCCUUCAAGUCGAAGAGUGGAUGUCCUACACUCCCAACUUGUGAAUCAUGAAUGAAGACAUCUUUUACUAAGGGUUUGGUGAAGAUGUCUGCCAAUUGAUGGUCAAAAUGAACAUGUCUUGUUAUCAUAGAAUCAUCUUGAAUUUUUUCCUUGAUAGUGACAGUCCAUCUUAAAAUGUCAGGUGCACUCAUGAAACACUAGGUUGGCUACAAUGUGUAAUGCAACCUUGUUAUCAAUGUAGUAAAGCAAGUUCAUGAUGUAAAAGGCCUAAAUCCCUCAACAGACAUCGGAGCCAUGUCAACUCACAACAUGCUCCUGUCAUUGCACGAUACUUUGCCUCUGCAGAGGAGAGUAAGACUGUUUUUUGUCAUUUUGAUCUCCAGGAUAUCAAUAAGGGUCCAAGAAACACACAAUAACCCGUGGUAGACCUCUGAGUUAGUGGGCAACCUGCCCAAUCCGAGUCUGAAUAAGCUCUUAAUUUGUAAUCAGUGUGUGAAGGAAAGAAUAACCCUUGACCAGGAGCUCCUUUCAGAUAUCGGACAACCCGGAAAGCAGCUUCCAUAUGAAGCUUCCGGGGUUGGUGCAUGAAUUUGAGGAACUGCAAGUUCCUCAAUGGUGGAAGUUGUUCACGGUGGUCAACACAUUUCAUUGUAUAUAAUAAUAAUAAUAAUAAUAAAAUAAUAAUAAUGUACUCAAAAAUUUAGAAGUUAUAAAAUAAAGAUUUUUUUAUAUCUUAUAAGAUAAUAAUUCUUAUCAAACAAUUUCUUACCGUCAUAAUCAUUAUAUCAGCCACAAUAAAAACUAUCGGAGCCAGGUUGGCAUAACCUAGAGCAUUCUUGCGUAUUUUCUAAAAGAGAAAGAAAACAUUUUUUCAUGAUUUUUACUUUUUUAUUCUUAAAUAAACAAACAUUCAAAAUUAACUUAAACAUUAGGAUGCAACAACAACUCCAAUUCCAAAACAAAAAAUAACAAAAUAAUAUGAAAGCAAGUAACACUCAUAUUUAUACAUUCUAAAAAGAUAUACCCAUCGCUCUUGCGUGAGCUGCUCCAAGUGAUCUAGUCACCAUCAACCUCCAACAUCUCACUCAAGCAUUAGAAAACAUCUAGGCAUAAAACAAGCCCCAUGACUCACAUAAAAAAAAUAUUUCAGCUUCCAUUGCCCAGAAACCUCCCUCCCUCCCUCAGUUUUUAUGGUUUAAUUCUAUAAUAAACUUCAAGCUAUUAGGAUAAUAUUGAAUUUAUAUUUAAACUAUUUUAAUUAUAAUUAUUCCGAGUCAUCAGAUCAUAUGUUGCUACAACGUAAUUUUUCUAUAGACAAAAUUUAUUUUAUAAUGCCGGUGGGGUAUCUUUUGGAGUGUUCAUGUAGAAAUUUAAGCAGAGUAAUGAAGAGACAUGAGGCAGUGCAAUAGUGAAACAAAGUUAUUCAUUCAUACCUCUUUCUUAUGUUGUACAUGUAGAGUGGGAAAAACUUGCAGCAAGGAAAGACAAUCUUGCGUAUAUUUUCUCCCAUGAUUAUUGCUAAGAUUAUAUGUUAAUAAUAAAUACACAAUCAUAUCUAAACUAGAUAACAAGUAAGUUAUACUUGAUGAGUUGUUGCCAAUGGUUAGGUUUCAGAGAAAGACAUGGCAGCUCCUCCUUUACGGGUAUGCUAUAUAUAUACUUCAUCCAACCAACAAAAGAGAAGUAAUAUAUUUUUCUCUGCAGACAUCUACAGACAAAGUUCUUCUCUGCAGUCAAGCCAAUGUAUGGGAGACCUGUGACCCCUGACUUUUUUUUUUAAUUAAUAUGGUUCGAUUAAUUCUAUCCCAUAAACCUUGAAAUUAAUAACUAUAUAAGCUUUCAAUAAUCUUGAAAAGAUUUAAAUUCAUGAUCAUUAAAGAAUAAACUCAAAAUUUAACUUGUUGAGUUACCCCUCAAGAUUUCUAAUACCCUGACUCUUGUUUACACACAAUGCCGGCGGUGCUAGUUAGGGGUGAUCAUUUUCGAUUUGGUUCGGUUUGAUUUUUAUUAAAAAAAAAGUAACAAAACCAAUUUUUUUUUUAAAAAAACCAAAACUAGUUCAAACCGACCGGUUUUGGUUCGGUUUUUUAGGACAAAAAGCCGGUUUGGCUCGGUUUUCUUGGUUUUGGCUAGGUUUUUUCCGGUUUUGGCUCUGGUUUUUUGAUUUGGCUCGGUUUUUUUGGUUUGGGUCCGGUCCGGUUUGGUUUUUUGGUUUUAGACUUAUAAAACCGAAACCAAACCAACCGAUUUUUUUAAAAUUUUAAUAAGUUUUUUUCACGAUUCAAUUUUUUCAAUUAUUUUUUUUCUAGUUUUUUUAAUUUUUCGAUAUUUUUACUCACUCUAUCGUAUGUUUUGUUUUUUACAGUAAAGAAGACUGGUGUUCUUACUAUUAGUAUUAUAUAUAUUAUAUAUAUAUAUAUAUAUAAAUUAAAGAUCAUUAGUGGAAUCUGCUAUGGAAAGAAUAUUCCGUUAGCAAUUCUAAUUUUUUAGAUUUUUUUAAUUUCGACAACAAUUUUUAAUGCUAGCAAAAUAUUUCAUUGAUAUUUUUAUUGGUAUUAGAAAUCAUUAACGAGAUAAAAAAGUUUAAUGAGCAACUUUUUAAAGAUAAUAUUUCAUUAGUAAUUUCAUUGAUGUUUUCAUUGGUGUUAGAAAUCAUCAAUAAUUUCUAAUAAUAACAAAAUUCUCUCUAAAUACUGAUAUAAUAUUCUUUUAACAUUCCUUAAUUUUGUGCUAGUGUUUAACGUAAAUAACUUCCUUUUGUUUUUCAAUUAAACAAAUUAUCAUACUUUAAAUUGCAUACUGAUAUAUUUUUUUUCUUACUUUAAAAAUUAACUUAAAAACUUACAUGUAGUAUAACAAGAGUUAUUGCACCAAUGAGAACUAAAUACCAUUAUCUUGUAAAAAAAAAAAAAGUAGGUUGCAGUCGAGAAAUAAUUUAUUUCCAUUUUAAUUUUGUAUUUUUGACAAUGUUUUAGGUUUUUUUGGGCUAAUAAAUUAUUAUUUUUUUAAGUUUUAAGGAUGUUGAUUAAUUAUUUUUUUGAUGAAAAUAAUGAAAAUAAAUUUUUAGAUAAAAAGAACAUCCUCUCAAUUUUUAGUCACUUUUACUAGAAUUUAGAUGUGGAAGUUACACGUCAUUUGUUUCUUAAAAAAAUUAGAAAGAUGACAAAUUUGAAAAAAUAAUGAAAAAAGCCUUGAGAUGCAGUGGCAUAGGCUAGCAGACCCGCAUGCUUAGACUUAUUUUUAAAGGUUCCAUCUUGCUAAGCCACAGGACGUGUACCUUGCUUUUAUUAAAAAAAAAUUCCAAUAAUUUUGGUUGUGAUUUCUUAAAUUUUAAUUAAUCAAAUAUUUAUUAGUUAUAUUAUUUAUUAGAUUCUUAAAGUGAUUAAUUAUAUAUUUAGAUAUUAUUUUAGUUAAAGUGAUCAUUUUUUACCAUGUUUUAGAAUAAAAUUAUUUCUGAACGUGCGGUUGAGAUUUUCAAGCUCGGUCUCUAGGCCCCUAGCAAGUCCAAGCUCUUGAAGAAUUGGGGAAUUCAAGUUCGCCAUGAUUGUACUCGCGAGGCAGAAGUAAUUGCAUCAGCCACAGCUUGUUUCGAAUGGAAAAUAUUGGAUGUUGACAAGAAGAAGUAGAAAAUGUGCAAGGAUAACCAAAAGCAGGGAUGAGGAGACAGAGCAGUGUGGCAUGAGAAAUGGCAAAGGUGAAAGUGUCUGGUGAUGGUCUUUACUCUUGCUAUUGAUCAAUUCUUCAUUACAUUAAACACAUUAUACGUUUGCAAAAAACCCACCAAAGACCACACCUCCCAUCUAAACUGCCGUCCUUGACUAUUAUAUUGAUUAGGCUCCACACGGUCGAGACUUGACUAGCUGUGCUUCCACCAUUGGAGAUAAGGUUUACAGGAUCAUAAAGCCUUGCCGUUUUGGCACCUGAUGCCAACAUUAUUGGCCUACAGAAAGACAAGUGGACAUCAAAACUACUAAAGGCCAAUCACCGCCAUGCGAGUAAAGAUAUGUUUCGGUUUGAAUUUUUUUUUUUUUUUAGAUCAAGGGAAUAUAAUGAGUCAUGUAUACAAAUAAAAUUACCGAGAUAACUGAUUUCGUUUGUAAAUCCAUCAAUAAAUUCAUUAAUAAACUGUUAACUUUUUCCUAAUACUAUUUAUCAUGUCAAUUACAAAUGAAAUUAUUGACGAAAUAUUCUAUUAAUAUUUCUUAAAAAACUUUGCAACUGUUUACUUUUUAAUUGCACUAUUAAUUAUUAUUCUUUAUAGAUAAAAUCACUGACGGAUUGAAAAUUCAUCAGUGUUAUUUGGUGGGUUUCUGAAAUUUUUUGAUUAAAUUAAAUAUUACAGACGGAAUCACCGAUAGAUUGAAAAGUCGUAGGUGAUAUUUGGCUAUUUCUAAAAAUUUUAUAUUAAAUUGAAAAUUUAAAUUAACUAUUACAGAAGGAAUAAUUGACAGAAUGAUUAAAAAUAUUAAUAUUUAAUUAUUCAUCGGUAAAACGCCCAAUAAAAAGACUAGAAUCCCUUAUUUCACAAUAGACGUGCCUCUUUUUUCUUCUUCUUUUUUUUUUUUUUUUUUUUUUAAAUCAACAUCUCUUUCUUUCUCUUCUCUCCUCAACUCCUUAUUUAUUUAUUUAAACAAUGCUAACUGGGUUGAGUCCACUGUUCCGGUUGGACCGGGUCCGAUUAAAAGCUAAAAAUGCAUUGAACUGGGUCCAAUCCAGUAAAAUAAAAAUAUUAUUUUUUAUUUUUAAUUGUGUUUUAUUUUAAAAAAUAGUGUUUAACGUUAUUCAAUGACACUACAUAAAUUAUACGGGGAUUGCUUAAUGACGUAGUAUUUACAUAACUUGAUCGUAAUCCCCAUUUUAUUCCUGAUGUUGUUGCGCGCUUAAGAAACUAAGAAAACUGUAGUCCUUGUCGGAUGUAUUUCAUACGCGAUGAAAUUGUAGAUAGUUUAAUGAAACAAUAAAAAAUAUUUUAUAUAAAGUAUUUUUUUAUUUUAUGAUGUAAUAGCAGUAGUUAAAUCUGUAAUAUUUAAAUUAAAAACCAUCAAUAUUAAUAUAUAUUUUUUGAAAUUAUUUUAUAACCUCAAUUUGAAAAGUAUUCUUAACCAAAUACAUUAAACUAUUUUUUAGUUCAACUUUAAUUUUAACCAAACAUAUAUAAAUAUCAAACCAAUCUCAACUAAAAAUACUUUUUAUAAAAUAAUUUUUUUCAAAUCACAACCAUAAAAGCUAUCACAAUACCAAACACACUCCGGGUGCGUUUAUUUUCUAGAAAGUGGUUUUCCAGAAACCACUUUUCAAACUUUAUUGUAUUUGUUUGCCAUUAUGAAAGUUGGUCAACGAAAAACACUUUCCAGUCAAAGAAAAAUUUGGCUUGGUUUCUAGGAAAGUGUUUUCCUUUUAUUUUGGGCGGAAAACACUUUCCAGAAGUUGUGAAAAAUUUAGAAAUGUCAUAUUAUUUACUAAUUAUAUUAAAUUUGGUUCUCAAACUUUUGAUUGUUACAUAUAUUUUGUUUUGAAUAUUUGUUUUUCAAUUUCAUCCCUUAGAAUUGAAUUUUUAUAUAAACUUUGGUUCUUAUUUUUAUUUUGCUUUUCCCUUAUCAUUUUUUAAUUGGAAUUUUUUAUCUAUCAAAUCUGGUCCUCAUUUUUUAUUGUUAUUUUUUUAUUUGAAAUAAUUUAUGAAAUGUUAAUUAUUAUUAUUUUAAUUCUUCAUCUUUUAAUUUUUUUAUUUUUUAGAUUUGAUCUCUAUUAUUUUGAUUAUUAUUUAUUUUAUUUGAGAUAAUUUAUGAAAUUAUAUAUUUUUUUCAAUUUAUUCUCAUUCAACUUUUUAAUUUGUAAGAUUUGUUGUUCAUUAUUUUAAUAAACUUGAAAAAAUAAAAUAUUAAUAAGUUAUUUUCCAGCUUAUUUUCCACGACAUAACCAAAUACUAGAAUGUAUUUUCUAACUUAUUUUUCAUUACAUUACCAAACAUUAAAAAAUAAUUUAUUUUUUAGAAUUUAAUUCCUAAAAAAAAUUACUUUUCAAUAAAUAAACAGGGAUUUAACUAACACCUCCCGAGUCCUAACGGAUAUUAUGGACCCGCAGGGUACAUAUUGCCCCUCAUGAUCUUGCUUUCUUCUUCUAGGGCCCGCAUGUUGAUAUUGACCAUCUUGGGCACUUCCGUUCUCCAUUGCCAGAGACGUUCGAGGCAGUGAAGCUCCCCAUCCCGCAUUAACGGUGGUUCGCAUUGCGUUUUGAAAAUAUUUUAAAAAGAAAUUGAUUUUCUUUUAGAUCAAGGGAAUAUAAUGGGUCAUGUAUACAAACAAAAUUACCGACAUAACUGAUUCGUUUGUAAAAUCCAUCAAUACAUUUAUUAGUAAACUGUUAACUUUUUUCUAACAUUGUUUAUCCUGUUAAUUAUAAAGGAAAUUAUUGACGGAAUAUUUUAUCGGUAUUUUUUAAAGAACUUUGCAACUGUUUACUUUUCAAUUGUACUAUUAAUUAUUAUUUUUUAUAGAUGAAAUCAUUGACGGAUUGAAAAUCCAUCAGUGUUAUUUGACGAGUUUCUGAAAUUUUUUGAUUAAAUUAAAUAUUACAGUCACAGAUGGAAUCACCGACAGAUUGAAAAGUCAUAGGUGAUAUUUGACGGUUUCUGAAAAUUUUGUAUUAAAUUAAAAAUUUAAAUUAACUAUUACAGACGGAAUAAUUAACUGAAUAAUUAAAAAUAUUAAUAUUUAAUUAUUCAUCCGUAAAAUGCCUAAUAAAAAAACUAGAAUUCAUUAUUUCACAAUAGACUUGCCCUUUUUUUCUUCUUCUUUUUUUUUUAAAAAAAAACCAUCAACAUCUCUUUUUUUCUCUUCUCUCCUCAACUCCUUAUUUAUUUAUUUAUUUAAACGCAGCUUUUGAUUUUUGCUUUAAUGCUACAUUUGUUUAUGAGAUUAGUCUGCGUUUGAAGCAAAACGCAGGAGCAACAUGUUUGGUAAUGAAAAAACAUCAUUUACUGUUCAUGGACCCCAUUGUUAUUGGCCUUUGCAACGGAGGAUGAGACAAAGUAGCUCUUCGCUGCUUCUGUAGAGAGUGAACAGUGGAGGGUGACUCCACUAUUCCGGCUGGACUGGGUCCGGUUUAAAGUAUGCAUUAAACCAAGUUCGAUCCAGCAAAAUAAAAAAAUUAUUUUUUAUUUUUUAUUGUGUUUUAUUCAAUGUUUAAUAUUAUUCAAUGACAUUACAUAAACUAUAUGGGGAUUGCUUAAUGACGUAGUAUUUGUAGAAUUUAAUUUUAAUCCCACUUAAACUUAUUCUACUGUACACAUAACCCGAUGCUGCGGAUUAUGUUUUUUAUAAAAAAUAUUAAAAAUUUUAGCUGCAAAGCUAUACUAAAAAAUAUUGAGUUUGGCUCCAACACCUAAUCUAAGAGUAAUAUUUAUAAUGUUAAUAAUAAAAUUAAACUUGCAUGACUUAAGUUUAAGUGAGUCUGGCUAAAAGACCAGACCCAAGAAUAUUGGAUGUGAGUCUGGCUAUAAGAUCGUGUUAUAAAAAUAUGAUAAUUAAAUAGAUUAAUUAAAAAAAUAAAAAAAAAUCAACAGAAAGGAAAAAACUAAUAAAGAAAAAGAAAAAAAUUGAAUUAAUUAGGUUAACCCUUUAAACUAGGUUAUCCCGUAAAACCUGAGAUUCACGUCAUGAAAGUUUGAUAAUUAAAUAGAAAAAAAAAAGACUGGUUUACCCAGAAUUAACUGGGUUAACCCAUCAAACCAAGUUAACCCGUCAAGCCUAGGAUACGUGUUAUGAAAGUAUGAAAGUCUGAUAAUUAAAUAAAAAAAAAAUUGACUUUAACAAACUAAACUAAAUGAAAAAAAUAACUCAUCAAAUCAAGUUAACCUAUCAAACCCGAGAUCCGUAUUAUGAAAAUCUGGUAACUAAAUAAAAAAUUAACAUUAACAAACUAAAUCAAACAAAAAUUCAUUAAAAAAAUUAAAAAGAAAAAAAUAGUUAUUAAUAUAAUGUAAUAUAAUAAUAAUAAUAAUAAUAUAUAAUAAUAAGUAAGUAUAUUAGUAAAAGGCAUGACAUGCCCACACGAUGCCGCGGGCUUGUGGCAUGCUUGUACAUUAUCGUGGAUUUGUGAAAAAAAUCAUAUAAAAAAAUAUAGUUAUCAUCCACAAUAUUUUAAAGAAAAAAACUACAAAGCUAUAUUCUCAACCAGUUCAAUAUUAAAAAAACAAAAUCGACAAAAACAAUUAUAAAAAAACACACAAAAAUGAAAACAAGAAGAUGACAAUUUUGGAAGAAAAAAAAAAAAACAAUAAUAAAAAAAAAGGAAAAAAAAACAUGUGGGGAAAGUUAAAGCUAAAUUUUCAAUCAUCUCAAUAUUAAAAUCAUUUAAAAAACAUUGUAACGAUCUAAAGUGUUUUGUGUAAAAAUAUAUAACUAUAAUUGUUAACCAGCUCAAUAUUAAAAAAAUCAAUAAAGAUAAUUUUAAUAGAAAAUAAUUGGAUGUUGACAAGAAGAAGUAGAAAAUGUGGCAAGAAUAACCAAAAGCAGGGAUGAGGAGACAGCAGUGUUGGAUGAGAAAUGGCAAAGGUGAAAGUCUGGUGAUGGUCUUUACUGUUGCUAUUGAUCAAUUCUUCAUUACAUUAAAUGAAGGACGAAUUUUUUGCUUUUAGAAGGUGUGAUGUGUGCUUUAAACAAAAAACCCACCAUACCUCACAUAUUAAAGCGUGUUUAGUAGUAUGAUAAUAGUUACUUUUUAAAUAAUUUUUUAUGUUGAAAUGUAUAUCAAUGAUGUUUUUUUAUUUUUGUUAAAAAUCAUUUUUAAUAUCAGCAUAUUAAAACGAUCCAAAAAAUAUAAACUGUAUUAAAUUUUAAUAAAAAAAAUAAAAAAAACUUUUGAAUUUUUUAAAAACAUAGGUUGAACCGCGUUUCUAAACACUGCCUACGCUCGACUAUUAUAUUGAUUAGGCUCCACACGGUCGAGACUUGACUAGCUGUGCUUACAAUAAAGCAAUUCAAUUUUCAAAGAAGGAACAUGGCUGUGAUUUGAAGACAAGAUUUGUCUGCCGGUGUGAACCCAAACUUUUGUUCAAAAUGUGAGCCAAAAUCCAAUCUAAAUUAAUCUAGUAUAUCAAAAAGUUGUAUUUUUUUUUGUGGUUGUUAUAAUUCUCUCUCAUCAAUUAAAAAUUUUUAAUCUUUAAUAUUGAAUUUUUAGGUUUAAAAAAGGUAAAAAUAACAAGUAAUCAAUUCUUUUUCAUGUUAAUUAUGGUUUGUUUAUGAAAACAUUAAAAAAAAUAAGAUUUAUAAAGAUUUGAAGUUUAUGUUUUUAAAAUAAAUUCAUGAUUAUUAUAAAUUUGAGUUCAAGUGAUUAAUUUUAGAUGUGUUGUUAGAAAUAAGAAUUUGUGAAUUGAUUUGUUUAAUUAAUUUAUUAAGGGUUAAGAAAUUCGCUUCAACUUUGUUAGAAAAUUGGACAAAAUAAUUUUGAGGUUGAAGAUAAAGAAAUUGUAUUUUGGUCCUUGAUUUAUGAAAAUUACAGUGUAAUUCCUAAACAUUGAAAAAUUAUAAUUUGACCUCUAACUGUAUUUUGGGAUUCUGAGUGGUAUUAUUAUGAGGUUAAGGAUAAUGACUCUCAGUUUAAUAAUUGAUUUGGGAUCUUUUCAAUUUGGGCCUUUAAUUUUGAAAGUUUACAUUUUAGUCCCUGAUCUUUAAAGAAAUGAUAGUUCGGUCCUUGGUUCAUUUCUAGAUAGAAUUGAAAAUGGUUUGUUGGUAAAAUUUCAGUAUGGUUAUGUAUUUACAAUUUGCUCCUCCAAUUUUGGCAAAAUUUUGUUUUGGUUCGUGAUUUCUAAAAAAUAUCGUUUUAGUCCUUAAACUCAUAAGAAUAAACCUGUUUUAUUUUAUGCAUUGAAAUAUUUUAUUUGUUGUUUUGGGUUGUUUUUUAGUAUAUUCUAUAUAUUUUUUUAUAAGCUCCUAACAAUCAUCAAUAAAAUUGCCAUAGCUUGUUUUCGAAUGGAGAAUAAUUGGAUGCUGACAAGAAGUAGAAUAGGUGCAAGGAUAACCAAAAGCAGGGGUGUAAGCAAGAAAUGGCAUGUGUUGAGAAGACAGAGCAGUGUGAGAUGAGAAAUGGCAAAGGUAAAAGUGUUUGGUGAUGAGCUUUUCUUCUGCUAUCGAUCAAUUCUUCAUUACAUUAGUGAUUAAUAAUGUGGUGGUUCAAUUUUAUUAAGAUAUUAAAACUGCUGUCCCUGACUAUAUUGAAUAGGCUCCACACAGUUCAGACUACAUUUCAGACUUGACUAGCUAUGCUUACAAUAAAGCAAUUGAAGUUUCAAAGAAGGAACAUGGCUGUGAUUUGAAGACCGAAUUUGUCUACUUGAAUUGCCUUGUUUGUUAGCAAACGUCUUCUUCUCUAAGCUCAGUUUUUUUUUAUCAGUGUCCAGUGGCCUUCGGUGACCCCAUAACCAUGCAGCCAAGCUGCGCACUGGCCAGACCCUCGGAAGUCGGAAACACCAAUAUCUUCCAGCGCUAGUGAAUGCAAGUUGCCCAAGAUUGUAAAUGCAAGCGCAGAAACAAGUGCACCAGCCAUGUUCUCUUCUGAAGUGAAAAUGGGAACUGACACGGGUAAGAUAAAUGUUUUCCGACUAAGGUUAUUUUUCUUUUCUUUUAUGACAAGGAGAUAAGAUGAAGAAUGAUUCAAUGUCGCAAAAUCGACAAGAUCAAAAGGGUUCUAAAAUUAGAAGUGUAAGAUCAAAUGUAGGAAUUAGUUUACUUCGAAGGCACAACAGUCUUUGGAACAAAAAAAAAAAAAAAACUUGAUUACCCCAGAGACAGGACAACCAAGAACACACCAGUACGGCAUCCAUGGAGCUAUUUAACAUCUUUCUGUAUGCAGCAAGGUGGUCAUGGCCAUACCUGGUUUUGUUUCGAAGUUUUGAACCUCCAGAACCAUAUUUAUUUGAACAUUUAUGUUUACUCAAAUGGAAAAUCUAGACAGCAAACUUUAAUUUACAAUGCACUAGUGAACAGCCCUUCAUAAUCUGGAAAACAAUGUAAAUGCUAUUAUUAAUUGUUUCACCUUACUAACAAUUGACAGUUGCAAUUGAAAAUUUAACAGAAUGCUUAGGAACCUGAUGUUCUAUUUUUAGGGACUCCAAGAUCGAAGAACAGUGCACAGUGAACAUUUCUUUCCCGGAUUUAAUUCAAACCAAUGUGUUGCCAUCCAAUUAAUCUGGUAAUUAAAGAAGAAAGAAGGGUUCUUGAAUAACAAGAACAACAACAGAAGAAAAGAAACAGAGAGAAAGAGAAACUUUUAGUAACAUUCAACACUUAGUAUUUUUUUUUAAAAAACAAAAUUAACAUUCAACUCAAACCAUUAACGUUGGUUUUUUUUUUUUUUUUCCCUGAAUCACAGAAUAUCUUGUCCCAGCUUUCACGUACUAAACCAAGUCUUUACAGCCUGGAACCGAUCUUUACACAGUGUUAAGCCCCACAGCUCGCGGCCCUAUAAGAUUUGAUGCUAGAAAAAUUCAAACUGAAGAUCUGAAGAGAGUAAACCUCCAAGCCCACCAUUAAGUUCCACUAGACUAACCCCUCGAAGUUACCAUUUACAUUGUCUGCUUGCUAUUCAUACAUCAUUCAUGGUCAACUCAAUAUUUCACUAAUUUUCAUUUUAAAAAUAUUGGGAGAUAUGUCAAAUUCAUAUUGAUUAUAAUUUUAGAAAAAAAAAAAAAAAAAAAAGCAGUUAGAAUGAAUUGAUUGAAAAAGCAUCACUUAUUAGUUUCAUAGAUUGUAUUGCAGAAGAUAUUAAAUAAAAACAAAACACAAUACGCCUUCGACACCGAACUGCAAAUUACCUGGGAAUCUGAGCGAACGAAUCUGACGCCCUUGCCAGGAUAUGUCUUCGCCCCACUGAACCGGCAAAGUUCAGUCCUGAAAUCAUCCAGACCAGACAAGUUUAAUGCUCGUCAUGAUAACAUAUUGAAAACCUCAGAUGAGAUCAUUUGCAUAUAAAAAUGCUUCAUUCCAAGCCAUAUAAGUUUGAUGGUUAACAAUGGUGUCUCGAUGAGGUUAUUCGCACGGUCAUGACGAAUAUUCUCAGAGGUACAUCAGAUCCUAAAACCCCUUGGCAGACGCCCAAAAACCCUUUCAAGUGUCACAUAAUUUAUUUUUCUAGAAUUUAAUUUCUAAAAAAAAUUACUUUUCAAUAAAUAAAGAGGGAUUUAACUAACACCUCCCGAGUCCUAACGGAUAUUAUGGACCCGUAGGGUACAUAUUGCCCCUCAUGAUCUUGCUUUCUUCUUUUAGGGCCCGCAUGUUGAUAUUCACCAUCUUGGGCACUUCCGUUCUCCAUUGCCAGAGACGUUCGAGGCAGUGAAGCUCCCCAUCCCGCAUUAACGGUGGUUCUUCCCAUGAUGUUCUUCUAACUUUUUCCAGGUCCUGAGAAAAUAAGCUUGCAAAAAGUGAAGGUUAUAAAAUUGUCAUUCAGUAUCUUCCAGUUGAUGAAUAAUACUUACAUCUCGUCUCGUAAUUAGACGUAAUGUAUAUAACGUGGCAUUAGUUAAUUGGAAUUAAAAUAGAUUGUUUUAAAAAAAUCACUAGCAGAAUGACAUAUAAUAUUUUUAUUAGUUAUAUAAUAAGAUUUCUGAAAAAAAUACUGACAAAAUAAAACAUGUAAUUUUUUUUUGCAUGCUUUUCUGUCAAUAAAUUCAUCGAUAAUAAUAUUUUUUUAUUACAAACAAAUAAAAAUUUUUGAUUAAAGAUUCACUGAUAAGGUAUUUUUAUCUAUAAUUUUGUCAAUAAAUUAAUUACUAAUAAAAUAAUAACACAAAUACUAAUAAAAAAAAAUUCAUUAAUAAAUAUAAAAAUUUUAAUAGUGGAUAGGGGCCUGGUAGAGCUCAUGUCUUGACAAAGUCUAAAAAUGACAAGUGACAAGUUGACAACUUGUCAAAUUCAUAUACAUCUUGGUUGAGUAGCCAAAAAAAAACCAAUAAAUGCUGAUGUAUCAGUUUUAGUAAAAAAAAAACUUAUAACGUAGCUCGCGCUACAUUGCAGGUCAAUUUUUUUAUAUAAAAAAUAUUUAAAAAAGUUAAAAUUUUAAAGUGUUAGGUUUUUUUACAAAGUUAUACUUAAGAGCAUUGGGUCUAUCUAUUACUCCUAAUCCAAAAGUUAUAUUAAUAAUAAUAUUAAACUUGCAUGAUCCAAGUUUAAGUGAGUUUGGUUGCAACAUCAAACCUGAAGCCUUUGAUAUGAGUCUGGUUGCAAGAUUUUAUUAUAAAAAUGUGAUAAUUAAAAAGAAUAAAAAAUUAAUAUCACAGAAUAAAUAAAAAAUUAAUUGGAAAGAAAAAAAACAAUAAAGCAAAGCAUUAUUUCGAUGAAUAGUGCCUUGCAAGGAGGGGUACAGUAAAAUCCCCUCAUGAGAUCACAAUAAUUUAAUGACAAACAAAACAAAUUAUAAAUUUUAAUUCUUAAUCAAAUCGAUAUUAAAAAAAUGAAAUUGAAAGAAAAAAACUACUUAAGAAAAGGAAAAAGAAAAAUCUUAAUUAAUUGGUUUAACCCGUCAAACCUGAGAUUCGUGUCAUAAAAUUGAAAGAAAAAAGAAUGAUGUCUUUUAGUUAUAGUUAAUUACAAUAUUUAAAGAUGAAAUCGGAAGAAAAAACUAAUAAAGUAAAAGAAAAAAAAAUAUGAAUCAACUGGAUUGGCCCACCAAAUCAGGUUAACCCAUCAGACCUGAGAUCGUGUCAUGAGAGUGUGAUAACUAAAUAAAAAAAAAUUAACAUUAAUAAAAUAAAAUGAACAAAAAAAAGAUUAAUUAAAAAGAAAAAAAAGGAAAAAAAAAACCUACAUGAAGAAAAAGAAAAAAAAUCUGAAUUAACUGGGUUAACCCGUCAAACGAGGUUAAUCCGUCAAACCUGGGAUUCGUGUUAUGAAAGUUUGAUAACUAAAUAGAAAAAAACUUAAUAUUAACAAAAUAAAUUUUAAAAAAUAUAAUUAAAAAAAAAAGCAAAAAUACUAAACAAAAAAAAUAUUAAUUUAAAAAAAAAACAAAGAAAGAAAAGUCUGCAUGAAGAAAAAAACUAAUGAAGAAAAAGAAAAAAAAAUCCUAAUUAACUGGGUUAACCCUUCAAACCAAGUUAACUCGUCAAAUCUGGGAUUCGUGCCAUGAAUGUUUGAUAACUGAAUAGAAAAAAAAAAAUUUACGUUUUAACCUAGAAUUAGCUAGGUUAAUUCAUCAAACCCAGAAUCCGUGUCAUGAAAGUUUGAUAGCCAAAUAGAGAAAAUUUAACAUUAACAAACUAAAUUAAAUGAAAAAAUAAUUAAAAAGAAAAAUCAGAAAAAAUUCAGGUUAACGCGUCAAACCCAGGACCCAUGUAAUGAAAUUUUGAUAACUAAAUAAAAAAAAUUUAACAUUAAUAAAAAAAAUUAAACAAAAAAAAUAUUCAUUAAAAAAAACAAAAAAAACAAAACAACUUAAAAAAAACAAAGCAAAAGGCAAAAAAAAAAAACAGCUUAAAAAAGCAAAGCAAGCAAAAAAUAAAAGACAGAUAAGCGUUUCACUGUGGAUUGCAUUCGAAAAAAUUAAUUAAAAAGAAAAAUCAGGAAAAAAAAACCAGAUUAACCCAUCAAAUCCAAAACCUAUAUCAUAAAAAAUUGAUAAUUAAAUAGAAAAAAAAUUAACAUUAACAGAAAAACUCAUUCAUUAAAAAAAACAGCUUAAAAAAACAAAGAAAAGGAAAAAAAUAGUAAAAAAAACAAAGUAAAAACCAAAAAAAUUAAUAAAAAAAAGAAGAAGACAGAUGAGCUUUUUAUGUGGAUUGCUACAGUAAAAAACCGAUCCUUUUAGUAUAUUUCUAAUACCAGCAUUUAGAACCCUAUCGGACAUUCAAUUAAGUUUUAUUUGCGAAAUUGAACAAGCUUUUAAAAGCUAAUUUAAACACAUAAACGCAACAUUAAGGAAAAAAUUAUCAUUUAAUAAUGAUAAAACAUCACAAACAUAACGCAAGAAGUCAAAUGACUUCCUCGAAGCAAAUUUAUCAAACUUGGCCUGGGUUGACAGGUCGACCUGCGACCUGUUUACCCGGGCUUUCAAACUGGAUUGGAAAUUAAUUUUGUUAAACAAAGGUGAUAUGUUCUAUCAAUUAAUUUUUUUAAAUAAAAAACAACUUCGUUUAUUUAUGUUUAUUUAAUUAUUUAUACCUUUUAUAUCUAAACGAGCCUGGACUUAGAUCGAAUCAGAUGACGAGCCUGGUCUGAUAACUUAGCCUUGAAGUUUAUUCUGUUAGAUCAUUAUUGUUUGCUGUGUUAGGCAACAGAUAUCCCUCUAUUCAUACUCAGCUUAAUUUUUCAAUUUCGACUUUUAAAAAUAUGGAGAGAUAUAUGUCAAAUUCCUAUCGGUUCUGAUUUUAAGGAAAAAUAAAAAUUUAUUAAGAAUUAAAAAAAUGCUAUUUUUUAUAUAAUUUGAAAAAAAUAUUUUAAACUUUAUUUUAUAAAGCUAAAAAAUUACUAAAAAAUAUAUUUAAUUUAUAUUCAUGUAUACAAUACUUGUUAAUUUAUUUAAUACUUGUUAAUUUAUUUUUUAACUUUAUUUAAAGCCAACAAUGAUUAAAAAAUAUAUUUAAUUUUUAUAACACUUUUUUAUGUAUUCAUCAAAAUUUUCAUGAAAAAUUAAAUUGAAAAAUCAUGGCUAUGAAAAAACAAAAAUACUCAUUUACUCCCUCAAAUAUGUUUCAUCAGUAAAUCCAUAAUUUUUCUUCGCUGAAUAUCAUUAGAUUUUCAUAAAAAUAUAUUAUUAUAAAAGUGAACAUCUUAGUGAUUUUUUAAAAUUUUAUUAUUAUUUUUAGAGUUCUUAAUAAAAUUUUCUUUAAAUUAGAACCAAUAGAAAUCUAACUCGUGUUCUUCCAUAUCUUUAAAAGACAAAAUUAAUGAAAUAUUACGUUUACUCUGAACAGAGAGAUCUAUACUGCCUAGUAGACAAAAUCAUAGAAACCCAAUUAUAUAAAUUUAAACCAUAAGGAUAUCUUUAUCAAAUAUCAAUAUAUCAGAGAGAUUCAUAGUACCAUCAAACCAAAGUUAUACCUAAACUUGUCAUGCAAUAAAACACGUGCAUAUUCAUACAAUAAAAAUAAUAAAUAGACGUAUUUCUCCCUUUCUAUUACAAAGAUCAUUGCAAUACUUAGUAGAUGCAAACGGAAGGGAUGUGAGCUAUCUUAGGCCAGUCCUCUCCUCGCUCCUUCGAGCACCUUUUCUUCAAAUUUGGACAAUGGUUAAUCAUCAAGUGGCUGAGGUUGCUGAGACUCUGUAGCCCUUCUGGCAAACAUACCAAAUUAGGGCAAUCCUGAAUUUCCAGGCGUGAAAGGGAUAUGAGAUAACCAAUCUGAUUUGGCAAGGAAGUUAAUCCCUUGCAUUCAUAGAGUCUUAGAGAUCGGAGAGAAGUAAGAUGUUGGAUACUCUUUGGCAAUGAAUUCAGCUCUGGACAAAGUUCAAGCUCCAAGAUUUCAAGUGCCGUCAGAUAUUGCACUCCCUCGGACAGAGACACAAAUUUAUCACAAUUUCUAACAGAUAACCUACGAAGAGAAGAUAAGCCGGACAACCCAUUCAUUGGCAGAGUGUAUAAUCUUGUACAACUAUUUAUCUGUAAAACCUCCAAAGAAGUGAGUUUUCGAAGACCUUCCUCUGGCAAGCUUUCAAGUUCAUAACAAUGCUGGAUACUCAAGCUUUUAAGAGCUGAAAGGUUGUCAAAUACCUUAUUUGACAAAGACGAUAGAUUUCUCAUCCCAACCAUACAUAAGGACUCGAGGAGUGUAUGAUUUUGCAAGAACCCAUCUGGAAUCAGCCUCGCAUCAAUCCUUGCAAUAAAAAGGUAUGUGAUAGAAGUAAAUUUCAUAACUGACAUCAGUAACGAAACAUUGCCUUCAGUGAUGUGUAAGCUUUUGACGGAAGGUAUAAUUGGUAUUUCGGUCAACAAGGGGCAAAGAACUACAGAUAAUGCUUUAAGACGAGGAAAACUACACGGAGCCCAUUGCUCUAGUCUCUCCAUUGAAAUAAAUGUCAGGCUCUCCAAAGAUGGGAAUGGAUUUUGCUCAUCUCCAUACACAUGGCUGUCAAUACACUUCACACCAUCCAUUCCAUCUAGUUCAAGAUUCUUGAGGAACUGUAAUUUCCCAAAUGGUGGAAGUUGUUCACAGUUGCCACAUGCUGUUAGCUUCAUCUCUACUAGAUUCGGUAGCAUCAAGUUCAAGUUCAUCAUCCACUUUGGAAAUUUUGAACCCCCAUAUCCAAUUAAUCUCAAUUUCUUCAGAUUUGAAUGAGGUUGAAGCCCAUCAAGGACAUCCUCAUUACUUUCAGCUGAUUGCACACAAGUAAAAGGGCGGCGACCUCCAUUCUCAUUCCAAGAUAAAUUCAGUGAUAGAAGAGUUGUCUUCAACUUCAAAUUGGCACUUCUGGCAUCUGUUAAAUUCUUAACAUUAACAAGAUCUGUGAUGCUUAGUUCACCAGCAAGAUUAUUCAGCCUUUCUAGCUCCCCUAAGUGACGACCAUCCUCCUUACCCACAAUGAACAGGCCAAGUUUUCGCAGGCAUAUUAAUUGUCCCAUUCCAAAUGGCAUAAAUCGAAGUGAAUCACAGCCCGUGAUGUCAAGAUAGAUGAGACUUUUCAUAUGCUUCAUACCUCUAGGUAAUUGGAUGAGCCGUGUACAAUGACUCAGAUUUAGUGUCUGUAGAUUUUGGAGCGAGGUGAUUGAUGCAGGCAAUUUUUUAAUGUGGGAAUUGGAGACAUCUAGAAACCUUAGAUGUUUCAAAUAACAAAUUGACUUUGGCAAUG
Molecule: long non-coding RNA, 42291 nt
Filed under: Populus tremula
Lineage: Eukaryota; Viridiplantae; Streptophyta; Magnoliopsida; Malpighiales; Salicaceae
Description: long non-coding RNA (PTRE_LNC001310)
Source: RNAcentral